CCGUGACCCCAGGUCAGGCGGGACUACCCGCUGAGUUUAA
This 40-nucleotide ribosomal RNA is filed under the name Angelica shikokiana. Its description in RNAcentral is "partial 28S ribosomal RNA". Lineage: Eukaryota; Viridiplantae; Streptophyta; Magnoliopsida; Apiales; Apiaceae. The record is from RNAcentral.